This 253-nucleotide ribosomal RNA is filed under the name uncultured bacterium. Its description in RNAcentral is "partial 16S ribosomal RNA". It matches the Rfam family "Bacterial small subunit ribosomal RNA", at positions 524 to 776 of the family's 1533-position model. The record is from RNAcentral.
GACGAGGGGUCCUAGCGUUGUUCGGAAUCACUGGGCGUAAAGCGCAUGUAGGCGGCUUUUCAAGUCAGGUGUGAAAGCCCACGGCUUAACCGUGGCAGUGCAUUUGAAACUGUAAAGCUUGAGUAUGGGAGAGGAUGGUAGAAUUCCUGGUGUAGUGGUGAAAUACGUAGAUAUCAGGAGGAAUACCGGUGGCGAAGGCGGCCAUCUGGCCUAAUACUGACGCUGAGAUGCGAAAGUGCGGGGAUCAAACAGG